RNAcentral lists this ribosomal RNA (468 nucleotides) under uncultured bacterium. RNAcentral describes it as "partial 16S ribosomal RNA". It matches the Rfam family "Bacterial small subunit ribosomal RNA", at positions 28 to 507 of the family's 1533-position model. The record is from RNAcentral.
GACGAACGCUGGCGGCGUGCUUAACACAUGCAAGUCGAACGGAAAGGCCCUGCUUUUGUGGGGUGCUCGAGUGGCGAACGGGUGAGUAACACGUGAGUAACCUGCCCUUGACUUUGGGAUAACUUCAGGGAACUGGGGCUAAUACCGGAUAGGAGCUCCUGCUGCAUGGUGGGGGUUGGAAAGUUUCGGCGGAUGGGGAUGGACUCGCGGCUUAUCAGCUUGUUGGUGGGGUAGUGGCUUACCAAGGCUUUGACGGGUAGCCGGCCUGAGAGGGUGACCGGCCACAUUGGGACUGAGAUACGGCCCAGACUCCUACGGGAGGCAGCAGUGGGGAAUAUUGCACAAUGGGCGGAAGCCUGAUGCAGCAACGCCGCGUGCGGGAUGACGGCCUUCGGGUUGUAAACCGCUUUCGCCUGUGACGAAGCGUGAGUGACGGUAAUGGGUAAAGAAGCACCGGCUAACUACGUG